UUCAUGAUCUGGCCUCAAAUCAGGUAGGGCUACCCGCUGAACUUAAGCAUAUCAAUAAGCGGAGGAAAAGAAACUAACUAGGAUUCCCUUAGUAACGGCGAGUGAACCGGGAUGAGCUCAAAUUUGAAAUCUGGCGUCUUUCAGGCGUCCGAGUUGUAAUCUAUAGAGGCGUUUUCCGCGCCGGACCGCGUCCAAGUCUCUUGGAAUAGAGUAUCAAAGAGGGUGACAAUCCCGUACUUGACGCGACAACCGGUGCUCUGUGAUACGUUCUCAAUGAGUCGAGUUGUUUGGGAAUGCAGCUCUAAAUGGGUGGUAAAUUCCAUCUAAGGCUAAAUAUUGGCGAGAGACCGAUAGCGAACAAGUACCGUGAGGGAAAGAUGAAAAGCACUUUGGAAAGAGAGUUAAACAGCACGUGAAAUUGUUAAAAGGGAAACGAUUGAAGUCAGUCGUGUGAGGGGUAUUCAGCCGUCUCUGGCGGUGUAUUUGCCUCUCACGGGUCAACAUCAGUUUGAUCCGGUAGAAAAAGGCGGGAGGAAGGUGGCACCCUCGGGUGUGUUAUAGCCUCCUGUCAUAUGUGCCGGACCAGACUGAGGAACGCAGCUUGCAGCAAUGCCGGGGUUCGCCCACGUACA
This 632-nucleotide small RNA is filed under the name Cryptococcus sp. 93b. Its description in RNAcentral is "eukaryotic LSU rRNA". It matches the Rfam family "Eukaryotic large subunit ribosomal RNA", at positions 1 to 611 of the family's 3401-position model. The record is from RNAcentral. Lineage: Eukaryota; Fungi; Basidiomycota; Tremellomycetes; Tremellales; Cryptococcaceae.